UUUAAAAGACGAUAAACAGUCACGUAGUAAAAAAGGAUUUGGGCUGAGAGUGAAAAGCAGUCACCUUCCCGUCGGAGAGCGGAUGCACAUCAGAAAUCAGGCGGGAGAGAAAUAUCUAACAGCGCUGGGCAUAAUGUGAUUAUACCUAAGCCGUCGGUGGGUACGCCGAGCUCACUACGAUCAGGACUCCCUUCGACUCCCGGCGGGGAGCCUUGCGCAGCCCGUCGCCGCCGCCGCGCUGCCGCGGCUGGAAGAGGUCCUGGCCAGAAACAGGAAGAUGUCAGAGCGGGGAGUGACAAGCGACAAAACAGUCGUCAUCUAUUUUUUUUUUCUCUCUCUCAGUUUCCCCUUAGUUUUAUGGUCACUGCAACUAAUCACAGUCCUUUGAUUAUUUAUGCUUCUUCAGCCGUGGCAACAAAAAGUGGCCAGCCUCUGCCCUUGACUUUUUUCCUCGGUUCCCAUAUUUUCCAGCUACAUGCAUUGUUUGCUUAAAAAAUUACAUCGCAUACAGUGCUGAACUGCAACACUUGUCGGAGGGUUCGUCUGAAAGCAUCACAACUCGGGCAUUAGCCGACACGAAAAAAAAAAAAAGAAAAAAAAAAAGGAAACAUAGGAAAAAACCUCGUUUUUUUAACAUAUUCAAUAAUGGGAAGUUCUUA
RNAcentral lists this long non-coding RNA (659 nucleotides) under Chloebia gouldiae (Gouldian finch). RNAcentral describes it as "Erythrura gouldiae (Gouldian finch) lncRNA (ENSEGOG00005000056.1)". Lineage: Eukaryota; Metazoa; Chordata; Aves; Passeriformes; Passeridae. The record is from RNAcentral.